This 406-nucleotide ribosomal RNA is filed under the name uncultured bacterium. RNAcentral describes it as "partial 16S ribosomal RNA". It matches the Rfam family "Bacterial small subunit ribosomal RNA", at positions 30 to 526 of the family's 1533-position model. The record is from RNAcentral.
AUUGAACGCUGGCGGCAGGCCUAACACAUGCAAGUCGAGCGAGCGGCGGACGCGUGAGUAAUGUAUGGGGAUCUCCCCGAUAGAGGGGGAUAACACCUGGAGACGGUAGCUCAUACCCCAUACUAUCGGAUGUAUCCCUAUGGGCUUAGCUAGUAGGGGGGGUAAUGGCUCACCGAGGCGACGAUCCCUAGCUGGUCUGAGAGGAUGAUCAGCCACACUGGAACUGAGACACGGCCCAGACUCCUACGGGAGGCAGCAGUGGGGAAUUUUGGACAAUGGGGGAAACCCUGAUGCAGCCAUCCCGCGGGUAUGAUGAAGGCCUUCGGGUUGUAAAGUACUUUUGGCAGAGAAGCGGUAUCUGCAGAAGAAGCACCGGCUAACUACGUGCCAGCAGCCGCGGUAAUUC